This 253-nucleotide ribosomal RNA is filed under the name uncultured bacterium. Its description in RNAcentral is "partial 16S ribosomal RNA". It matches the Rfam family "Bacterial small subunit ribosomal RNA", at positions 524 to 776 of the family's 1533-position model. The record is from RNAcentral.
UACAGAGGUGGCAAGCGUUGUUCGGAAUUACUGGGCGUAAAGGGCGCGUAGGCGGCCAUCUAAGUCAGACGUGAAAUCUCCGGGCUUAACUCGGAAAGGUCAACUGAUACUGUGCGACUAGAGUGCAGAAGGGGCAACUGGAAUUCUCGGUGUAGCGGUGAAAUGCGUAGAUAUCGAGAGGAACACCUGCGGCGAAGGCGGGUUGCUGGGCUGACACUGACGCUGAGGCGCGAAAGCCAGGGGAGCGAACGGG